Molecule: ribosomal RNA, 411 nt
Filed under: Ptenothrix sp. CAdH-2002
Lineage: Eukaryota; Metazoa; Arthropoda; Collembola; Symphypleona; Dicyrtomidae
Description: eukaryotic LSU rRNA
Source: RNAcentral
UGUCCGUCUGGUGCGUACGAAAUCUAACGUUANNANNNGUCACGGCUUUUNAGACUGGCGGUUGGUCAUGCGUGUUGUACGAUGCCAAUGGGCAGGUGUAUAGUAUGCAUGGGACGAGCAGGUUUGGGAACUGGCGCUGUUUGCGGACAAGCGAGUUCAGUUGUUGGUGUUUUCAUAAACCUUUGGUCCUGAGUUUGGUGUUCCUAAACGUCAUGGGGUCGUGGAUUUUAUGGUAAAAUCAACGUACGUUGGGCCUACUAUCUCUCUUUACGCCGCGUGAUGGUCGUCUAGUUUCUCAUGUGUAGUCAGUUUAGGGCUUCCUAGUUGGAUUGAGACAUGAGAGUCGGUGGCACGUCAUUCGGACUUAGAGAGUAGUUAUGAACGUUCAAGACGGGCGAAUGGGGGCUCUCC